GCCAGGCAUGGUGGCGCAUGCCUGUAGUCCCAGCUACUUGGGAGGCUGAGGCAGGAGAAUUGCUUGAACCCAGGAGGCAGAGGUUGCAGUGAGCCGAAAUCAUGCCACUGCACUCCAGUCUGGGUGACAGAGCAAGACUCUGUCUCAA
Molecule: unclassified non-coding RNA, 148 nt
Organism: Pongo abelii (Sumatran orangutan)
Lineage: Eukaryota; Metazoa; Chordata; Mammalia; Primates; Hominidae
Rfam family: Metazoan signal recognition particle RNA
About the family: The signal recognition particle (SRP) is a universally conserved ribonucleoprotein.
Source: Ensembl